This 557-nucleotide long non-coding RNA is filed under the name Homo sapiens (human). Its description in RNAcentral is "HSALNT0289957". Lineage: Eukaryota; Metazoa; Chordata; Mammalia; Primates; Hominidae. The record is from RNAcentral.
GUGCUCUCUCUCUGCCUGACUAUGUCUCUGCCUGGGAGGACAGAGAACUGCCCUCCCCAACUCGCUGCUCCCUUCUUGCCCAGGAUUUGAAUGGGCAUUGUUGCUUCUCAAGCUCUGGGCAAAGGAGAAAAAUCCCUGGUCACCUGUGCAGAACAGACGUGAGUGAGACUCUUACAAGGCCACCUGCCCAGCCCUGGUGGCUCCUAGUCCAGGACAUGGAAAAGGGGCUGCUGCCCAGAAAGCCAGGAGGGCGAGAAGACCUUGAGAAUGUCCAGAACACUGAGAACUGGAUUAGGACCUAGAGGCACUGGGCCCCUGGAGCCUCAGAAGGAUCAGAUCCAGAAAUGGAAUUGUGCUGUCUGCAUCCUCUCCCGGCCAGAUCAGUGCAGAAGUUUACUCUGUGAAUGACUCUCCUCUAUCUGCUGUCAAAAACUACCACCUACUUGAUGGCUUUAAACGGCAGAAAUUUAUUCUCCCACAGUUCUGGAGGUCUUGCCACGUGCCCACAGCAGAAGUCACACCUUUGAGGUGGAAUGAGUCACACAGUCUUGAGGAGC